This is a long non-coding RNA of Harpia harpyja (harpy eagle), 4632 nucleotides long. RefSeq lists it as uncharacterized. The transcript has 11 exons. NCBI's taxonomy places the organism in Eukaryota, Metazoa, Chordata, Aves, Accipitriformes, Accipitridae. The record is from RefSeq and is a predicted model, not a curated record.
UCUAUAUGCAUUUAUAGUUGCUGAGAAGUGCUGGAGUGGGAAGCCUACAGACUAAAUUGGUGGUAGCACAUGAAAGAGAAGCAAGUGCUGUGGCCUGGUAUCGGGCACUGGGUUCUGGUUUUGGUUUGGACACUGACUCACUCGGCCAGCUUGAGGAAAUCGUUUCCCUUCUCUGUGCACCUGUUUCCACUCCCCACCUCUAAUUGUCUCCCUGGUUAGACUAAGAGCUCUUCAGGACACGGCCCGUCUCUCGCUGCGUGUACGUACAAUGCCUCAGCACAAUGGAGCCUUGUCUUGGUUGGGGCCUUAGGUGUUCGAGUAAUACAAACAAUAAAAGGUAUGCCCAGACAGCAAGGCAAGCUUCCCAGACAUGCUGCUCUGCAAGGAUGUCUGAAACCCAAUGUGCUGGGAGCUGUCUCUGUUCCCAGUCCUUGGCUUCUCUCAGCCGGCCAGCAAAGCAUAACCAGUUCCAAUUACAAUGGUGAGGUGAACUGGCACGUUCCCAGUUCCACUGGGAACCGGUGUGAAAUCACUGAACUCAUUUUGCAAACUCAAGCAGUGCCUGAUAGGAACCUCCAAACCGCGCAGCUACAGACCUGCCUGGAGCCGUGCCAUCUCCCUGCAGGUGAAAAGCCUCUUACGUCAGCCCUGAAGCUCAGAGCCAUCUCAUCCCACUCCCAGCCCACACUGCACACGCUUGAGCCUGCUCCAAUUUGCCAGCAGAGAAACGAGCAAAAACAUUUUCUCCUUUCCUCCCUUGUCUGAGGAGGUGCAUACAUGUGUCUCUGGCUUUUCUUCUUGUCCAAUGGCUUUUGCAUAGCCCCUUCCUCCCGUUGUUUGUUCGUUCCCUGCACUCCAUCCCAUCUUUUGUGUUCCUCCCUGGUUUGAUACAGCAUCUCGCUGGUCCUGCUUCACACUAAGAGAAGGGGUAUUAGAUGGAUUCCCCAUAGAGUAUAAAUUGAAUGGAGAGAAGUGGCUGGUUUCCCAGCAAUAAUUUAUCUGAUUAAAAAAAUACUCCCCAAACUCCCCCUCCUCCGCUGGUCCUACACCCCCUCCAAAAAGAACAUUGGCACUCAGGCUAGUGUUUGAACUGUAUUAUUCAAAUUGCUGGAAGGGGGAUUUAGAUGGGAAAAUAACUGUCAAAAGAUGGCUCUCUGGGGAUUUUCCCCAGAAUGUGAGCUCUGAAAUUUGGAACAUGGGUUGUCAUAUGGAGGAGGCAGAGAGUAAAUAAUUCUGAGUCAAGUACCUCCAUGAUUUCUAGCUUUGCCCUCAUCUAACAAAUAUCUUACACAGAUACGCACAGAUGCACAUGCUCACACACAUGUGCCCCUGCACACACAUUUCAUAGAAGAAGCCAUUAGCAGUAACGCCAAAGCACAGCAAGCUGUUCCUGCUGUUCCCUUUCUUCUCUCUCUUUUUUGCCUUACUUCAGGGCUGAUUCCAAAUAAAUGAAGAAAUCUGCUUCAUAAAAUGCCUGUCUCCUUGUUUGUUACCUGUACAGGUUUUAUUCCUUUUAAAUCAGUGCUAUCCAAGGCUGGUAAUUUUCUUCUCCCGCUGAAGCCAACAUUCCUUUACUCACAUAGACUGUUGUAAUUGGGGAACAGAAAAGUCACCCUGACACCCCUCUUCAUCACAGCAAUGCAGCGUAGGUGACCUGAGCUAUGUAUUUCUGGCCUAUCUGUAUUUCGCUGUUGCCUUUCUCUUUGAGGGAGAGAGGCAGGUAUUUUACAUUUCAUACUGCUCCCACAGUAUGCAGUGAUUUAUAACAGGAGCUACCUUAUUAACGUCAAGGGCAGAAUUGCUACCGAUGUUCAAGCUGCAAGAGCGUAUGAAAAUCAUUUAGUUAGCUAUGGCAUGGUCCCAGCACCGAGGGCUGUUAGCUGAUGUACAUUCCUCUCUCUGCUCACAGCCUCCGCCAAGUCUGCAUGCUGGUUUCUGGGCCAGUGGGUGAAACGUGAACAGGCCCAUUCUGAGCCGGAGCUUUUCAACCUCAGAGCAACCUUAAGCUAGUCACCAGGGCUCAGGUUUCCUUGCUUUUUGACAGGAGUACUGUUCAGAUGAAACCUCUCUCCACUCCUUCUGGAGGAUUUACGCUGCCACAAGUCUUCAUUUUUUCCAGAUGUUUUACCUAAUAAAUCAAGGAGUCUCAUCAGAGGAUUCGAAUCCAAAAGCUGUUACCAUGACUUCAAAGGCACAGGCUGGAAUGGAAAGAAGAAGUGCAGACAUUUUAUACCACUCUGUAGUCACUGAUCAUGAAAAUACACUCCGGUUCCAGGAUUUUUUCCUGUGGAUACCAAAUUCCACCAUGAUUAAAUAAAAUGGUGCUGUGCUCCUUCAGCCAACCUUUGCUUAAAAGAAUUGAGCUGCAGCACUCGCAGGCUGUACGGUUGGCAGUAACCGAGGAUGGGGCUGGUCCUGAGAGAAGGUGAGCUCUGCCAACCUCUGUCCAAGAUCAGGGACCGUUAACUCAGGUUUGAACUCGCUCUGUCUUUUCAGAUCAUUGGCUGCAUAUUUUCUCUCAAUGCUAGGUUAAGCUUUUCUCAUGUAAAGGAUUCAGACAUCCGUUCAUAUUCUUCAGAUGUUUGGGAGAGAAAAAGAUAAAAAGAGUUAUAUGGCUGCAAAAUGGGAUUGUGAUUAUUCAUACUGGUUUGUUCCUUGGUCAAGAAUGUAACUCUUUUUUUCUUAAAUAUAGCGAACCUUUUCUUUUUACGGUGUCUAUGUGGUGUCAUUUUCUUUCACUGUUACAUUUCUAAAGAUAAAUGCUCUGGUGUUUUGAGAAACUGUUAUGUAUGCGUUUCUAAUUACUUGAUAGCACAGUGUACGGCAGGAUAAUGUAAUGAAGAAACGCAGCUGAAGAAAGAAAAAAAUGUUCCUACAUGUAGGUGAGCGGAAGACCUGCAAGACUGUGUUUUGGUUCCUUGCUUUCCCGAAGAGUGCUGGCAUGGCUCCGGCUGCGCUAGGUGCUGCCCAUCAGAGAUGCCCAAGUUAGGCUGUGUUCUGCAGCAGCUUCUUCUGGCAGCAGUGCCAAGGGCUGCCCUGCACUGCCUCCCUGCAAAGCCAUGAAGAAGGGAGGCUGUGACAACCUCCCGAGGGUACCUACAGCAGGUGAUAUGACAAGAGACUUUGGCUUGUGCUGUCUGAGGAUUCUGGUAGAUGUUUCAGAGAAGAGAACGUUCUGCUGCAUUCUGGUGGAGGGUUGUCAGAGAGGGAAGAGCCAGGACGCUGAAGCCCAGCACCCCAAACUGUUGUGACUGCUUGGGAUUGAUGACAUCUAGAAUGAUACGUUUUGGAUCAUCAGAACAGAGUGGGAGCAGCACAGCUUGGUUUCAGGAGCCAAAAAUAGGCUGUGGUUUGCUUACCUUCUGCUGCAGUGUCACCCCACCCACCCCAGGCCCAUGAAGUACUCCAAAUGGGGAUUUUGUCCACACUGAUCUCUUAUCUGAGUUCAGUUAGCCUUUCAACACUGCAAAUAAGCUAUUCAGUAUUACUUCCUAGCAUGACCUGGCAGUGUGAGAAGUAGUGGCUCACUGCGGAUACUGCGAUGACAACCCCAGAAGACCAGAUGAAUGCUACCUGAUAUCUGGACUUCACAAAUGCAGGUCAUCAAUCCCCUGACCAGUAGAUAGGUCCCAGAGCAGGAGAGAGACGACAGUGCCGCGUAGCCAAAAAAGGGACAGGGCAAUGCUGCUGUUAGUAACUUUCCACACCGGGCAGAGGCUGCUGCAGUCUCACUUCCCUGCCUUUGCUGGCACAGGAGAAAAUGUGAUAGUGUUUACAUAGCACUGAAGCACUAGGACUCGGGAGAUGUGAAAUGCGGAACUGCUGCACUACCUUUGGUGACUCACGACACCUUUCCGUGAUUCUGCUUUCCUUCUAUUUUCCUGCCGGGCUAACCUUCUAGACUAUAACCUCUCUGGGGAAAGGACUUGCUUUUGUUGUGUGAUCCUACGGUGUCUAAUACAAUAGGACCCAACCUCAGGAGUCCUGAGGCUGAAGCCCUGUCCUGGAGCAGCAGUCACCCACCUUAGCCACAGCGCCGUGCUUGCCUUCCCCGCAGCUCCUUGCAAGGCAGACUGAGUUUCCUCUUCCAACUCCCCGUUCCCUUUCGCCACCCCGAAGAACCUGUCUUUUCUCCAGACCCUUUGCGCCUGCCAACUUACUCGUCCCCGAUCCAGUUCUCGUCCCCACCGUGUGUUACUCAAGGAGCUUCCUGCCUGGUGUUUCCCAAGAGGACUGGAAGGACAGGUUCCCCACUCGCCCUUCCUACCUUCAGACUUGGCAUGGUCCAGAGCAGCCGGGAACUGGAACUGCAGGUCCAGCUCCGACUCCCACAGCCUUGGGCUGUGGCGUGCUGGGAGAGCACGGAACUGCUGGAGAACCGCACCGAGGAGGGCGGACUCGAAGAUCCCCAACAGAAGGAAUGAAAGAAGAAGUGUUUGUAAUUUAACCUGAGGUAUGAACUUCAGAUGCUUGAAUUUCAGCACAGUGGUUAGUCUGGCACUAUUGAAAGGGACUGAAGGUAGGAUUUGAUGAUGGGAAUUGCUAACCAGCUUUAAUAGGAAUUAUACUACCAGUCCUGCCUUUUAAUCAGCGCUUCCAUUUUCAGUAUAAAUCACAGUUCGUUGCUGGUAA